Long non-coding RNA from Gadus macrocephalus (Pacific cod), 567 nucleotides. RefSeq lists it as uncharacterized. The transcript has 3 exons. The record is from RefSeq and is a predicted model, not a curated record. NCBI's taxonomy places the organism in Eukaryota, Metazoa, Chordata, Actinopteri, Gadiformes, Gadidae.
UAUCCCCCUACUCACUAUCCCCUACUCACUAACCCCCUCAUCACUGCUGGACUCUACUCACUAUCCCCCUACUCACUAUCCCCUACUCACUAUCCCCUACUCACUAACCCCCUCAUCACUGCUGGACUCUACUCACUAUCCUUCUACCCACUAUCCCCCUACUCACUAUCCCCUACUCACUAACCCCCUCAUCAUGUGCUCAGUCGCUGAUAUUUGAUAACUUUGUCCAACUACCAAAGGAAUCAAGAAGACAAAGAUAGCUCCUCCAAGCCCUUCAGUAGGUCCAGUAGGUCUCCAGUAGGUCUAGGGUCUUCAGUAGGUCCAGGGUCUCCAGUAGGUCCACAAGAGUUCAAUUGUGCUGUAAAAUGUCAAAUGAUUAUUCCGAUAAUUAUUUUAAUAGUAUUGAUUAUGCCAUCAAUUUCCAUUUAUCCAUGAUUUGCUAAUCAGUCAGUAUGGCUUAGAUUUUUCUUAUACAGUUAUGUUUAUUUGCAUAUAUAUGAAUAAUUUCUUUUUUUUUAUAAAUACCUUUAACCUUGAACAUGAGUAUAAUUAAAUGUUAAAUACAUA